CCUUCUAUCAGACACAUCCUCGACACAUCCUAAAAGGGAAAUUCAAGUAACAAAUGUAAGUAUUUGCCACCACCAUGAAUUAUAACAGGAAAGAAUCAUAAACAUUAUUUAAAUGUUAAUCGUUUAUCAUCGAUCAUUCUUCUACAUUAUCCCUUUUUUAUGAAAUGAACUGCAACAUGUUGCACAUCAAAAUUCAAGACAUCUUCCUUUAUUCCAAGUCAAUCAAAAGCUGCUUCAAAUAAGCCAACUAAAGAUUGGACUAAAACCAGCUGUUCGUAAAGCAUACUGACAGAAUGAGAAAGAGAUGUCCGAAGGGACUUCCAGUUACUUCAGUUUUGAGAAUAGCACCGGAGCAACCUGCAUAGCAAAAAUGCCAAAUUCAGUGGCUGAGCUAGGCCAAUAAUGUAGAAAUUUUUAAACAACGAAUGAAGACUUACACAUCUAUCAAUACAAAAUAAGUAGUCAAAGUACUGCCCUGUACAGUGUUUUUGCCCAGGUUCAUCACCUUCAAUCCUCUUAAUACAUGCCUGUAAUAAGUGAAACAGAAUUAUCCCUUCAGUGGCAUAGAAUCAUAUCCUCAAGGAAAAAAUAUUUCCUGCUAGUUAAAGAUAAUCUUUCCAUUCAGCAGUAAUUAGUCAAUGAAAUGGUUUUAAAUUUCAGCUAAUAUAGCCAAAAGUUAUCCAUGUGCUGCACCCGUAGAGAUAAAUGUCCAUGAUGACAAGACUUCAAU
RNAcentral lists this unclassified non-coding RNA (730 nucleotides) under Hevea brasiliensis (rubber tree). The record is from RNAcentral. Lineage: Eukaryota; Viridiplantae; Streptophyta; Magnoliopsida; Malpighiales; Euphorbiaceae.